UUCAGAGUGUAGAGCUUAAUUGGAACAGUGUUUAUGCUUCACUGCCAGAGUCAAGGCUACUCCGCUCUUUUGUUUCAUCUUCCCUCCUUUCUUCCUUUCACAGCCCAAACACUUGAAGAGGAUUUCAAGUUAAUUUACAUCCUGCAGAGGGUAAAUGGCAGAAACUGUUUCUUACAGUUCUGCAUUAGGACUGACUAAUGUAAGUUUUGCAAGGAAAUUAUUAUUCCAUCAGGAGAGAUACAUAGCUUUGGAAUGGAGUUACCCUUUGUUACCUGUGAGGCAGCAUUUCUCUGAUGGGCCUCAUCUUUCACUACCACCUGGGUGAGGUAGUACAUUGGUAAUGCACUGUCAAAAUGCAUUUGGUUCAUGCUGUGAAAAAUAAUUAGUUGGACAAUGGAGCUGCUUUGAAUUUACAUGUGUGACUCAUCCCACAACCCUUCCUGUGAUUGUGGGAUUGGGCCUCGGAUUACGGAAAUGAUUGAUAAAUAUUCUUCUAAACACCUAUGAUUUCAGAACAAUGGAUGCUGCUGAAAUGUCAGCACUUGUGAAAAUGGCAGUUUGUUUACUAGGAAAUGAAAAGAAUGAGGAGCUUUUGAUGGUCAGGGCAGCAAUGUCUGUGUGCUCUUGAAAUUUCUGAAAAAUAUAUUUAUAUUCUGUUCUACUUUGCCUGUGGUUCCCACACACAUGUGGCACCACUGGUAAUAUCUCUUUGGAGAACUAGUCCUCUGGGUAGAUUUUGAAAGGGUGGGUCCAGCAUAAAUAUAAACUCCAUUAACUCUAGCAUAUUUUGAUUUGCAGAAGUAAUAAUGGUGAUAAUGGUGUAUAUAGGGUCAAAACCACUUUUUUUUCCUUCCUUAUACAGAUUACUGCAUUUAUUUCAAUGCAUUUUUCAAAUAAAUAAUGAAACACCAGGACAUGACCCAGAAAUAUCUUAUCAUUAUCUAUGAAUAAAGUAUUGUGCUUUAGCAUUACAGAUGAGUAGAACUGAAAUGUUCCUGUAACAUAUCCCCAUAUAAUUUGACACCAACUAAACAUCUUCAGUGACUUGUGAAACACUAUGUUUCCACAGACUGUGCCUUUUGUGCCACUAGCCUCUUGUUAACAGGAUUAAGUUGUGCUGUCAAGAGAGUGUAAAUGUUUACAAAGAGAUUGCAGGAUAUUUCUGCCCAGUACUCCAUUAAGAAAUGAGGAGUGUGCUGACUGUACUGCAUGUUCAUAGUGAGUUGGAACCAUUUCACAUCUCUGAAAUUCAGUGAAGCUUAGAGACCCAGGACCAACACUCCACCAGUAAGAGCCUUCCCCUUAUAUCCAGACCUUCUGACAACUUCUGUCUCUCUGACCAUGCUCAACCACCUAAUGACAAUACCAUUUCCCACUGCCAGAGCAGAGCACCACAGGCUGCUGGCAUCCUUUAAAGCUGUCUGAAGCAUCAGCUUGAGAAAUGCAUUUCCAGAGUGAGCUGAGAUGGCAGAUAGCUACAGGAAGAAUUUUAACAGUUGUUUAAAAAAAAAAAA
Vidua chalybeata is the source of this 1514-nucleotide long non-coding RNA. RefSeq lists it as uncharacterized. NCBI's taxonomy places the organism in Eukaryota, Metazoa, Chordata, Aves, Passeriformes, Viduidae. The transcript is spliced from 3 exons. The record is from RefSeq and is a predicted model, not a curated record.